This 402-nucleotide ribosomal RNA is filed under the name uncultured bacterium. RNAcentral's name for it is "bacterial SSU rRNA". It matches the Rfam family "Bacterial small subunit ribosomal RNA", at positions 358 to 775 of the family's 1533-position model. The record is from RNAcentral.
GGAAUAUUGCACAAUGGGGGAAACCCUGAUGCAGCAACGCCGCGUGAAGGAAGACGGUUUUCGGAUUGUAAACUUCUAUCAAUAGGGAAGAAAGAAAUGACGGUACCUAAAUAAGAAGCCCCGGCUAACUACGUGCCAGCAGCCGCGGUAAUACGUAGGGGGCAAGCGUUAUCCGGAAUUACUGGGUGUAAAGGGAGAGUAGGCGGUCCGGAAAGUCAGCGGUAAAAGCCCGGGGCUCAACCCCGGCGAGCCGUUGAAACUGUCGGACUAGAGACGGCGAGAAGUACGCGGAAUGCGCGGUGUAGCGGUGAAAUGCAUAGAUAUCGCGCAGAACUCCGAUUGCGAAGGCAGCGUACCGGCGCCGGCCUGACGCUGAGGCACGAAAGCGUGGGUAUCGAACAG